CCUACGGGUGGCAGCAGUGAGGCAUAUUGGUCAAUGGCCGUCAGUCUGAACCAGCCAUGCCGCGUGAAGGAAGAAGGAUCUAUGAUUUGUAAACUUCUUUUGUAGGGGAGUAAAUGUAUCUACGUGUGUAUGUUUGCAUGUAUCCUAUGAAUAAGGAUCGGCUAACUACGUGCCAGCAGCCGCGGUAAUACGGAGGAUGCGAGCGUUAUCCGGAUUUAUUGGGUUUAAAGGGUGCGUAGGAUGUUUUGUAAGUCAGCGGUGAAAGUUUGGGGCUCAACCACAGAAUUGCCGGUGAUACUGGAGGACUAGAGUUUAGUUGAGGUAGGCGGAAUGCGUGGUGUAGCGGUGAAAUGCAUAGAGAUCACGCAGAACACCGAUGGCGAAGGCAGCUUACUAAGCCACAACUGACGCUGAGGCACGAAAGCGUGGGGAGCAAACAGGAUUAGAUACCCCAGUAGUC
RNAcentral lists this ribosomal RNA (460 nucleotides) under uncultured bacterium. RNAcentral describes it as "partial 16S ribosomal RNA". It matches the Rfam family "Bacterial small subunit ribosomal RNA", at positions 338 to 795 of the family's 1533-position model. The record is from RNAcentral.